AGUGGAAUUGCUGGGUCAUAUGGCAAUUCUAUGUUUAACUUUCUGAGGAACUGCCUAACUAUUUUCCACAGCAGCUGCACCAUUUAC
Molecule: microRNA precursor, 87 nt
Filed under: Loxodonta africana (African savanna elephant)
Lineage: Eukaryota; Metazoa; Chordata; Mammalia; Proboscidea; Elephantidae
Description: miRNA (ENSLAFG00000029123.1)
Source: RNAcentral